GUUAAUAGCCAUAUCACUUUGCAGCCCAAGACCGGUUACUCACUGAAGCUAAGCAGGGCUGAGCCUAGUUAGUACCUGGAUGGGAGACCACUAGGGAACACUAGGUUGCUGUUGGAA
This 117-nucleotide ribosomal RNA is filed under the name Danio rerio (zebrafish). The record is from RNAcentral. Lineage: Eukaryota; Metazoa; Chordata; Actinopteri; Cypriniformes; Danionidae.